GACGAACGCUGGCGGCGUGCCUAAUACAUGCAAGUAGAACGCUGAAGAGAGGAGCUUGCUCUUCUUGGCUGAGUUGCGAACGGGUGAGUAACGCGUAGGUAACCUGCCUUGUAGCGGGGGAUAACUAUUGGAAACGAUAGCUAAUACCGCAUAACAAUGGAUGACACAUGUCAUUUAUUUGAAAGGGGCAAUUGCUCCACUACAAGAUGGACCUGCGUUGUAUUAGCUAGUAGGUGAGGUAAUGGCUCACCUAGGCGACGAUACAUAGCCGACCUGAGAGGGUGAUCGGCCACACUGGGACUGAGACACGGCCCAGACUCCUACGGGAGGCAGCAGUAGGGAAUCUUCGGCAAUGGGGGCAACCCUGACCGAGCAACGCCGCGUGAGUGAAGAAGGUUGUCGGAUCGUAAAGCUCUGUUGUAAGUCAAGAACGGGUGUGAGAGUGGAAAGUUCACACUGUGACGGUAGCUGACCAGAAAGGGACGGCUAACUACGUG
Molecule: ribosomal RNA, 497 nt
Filed under: uncultured bacterium
Lineage: Bacteria
Description: partial 16S ribosomal RNA
Rfam family: Bacterial small subunit ribosomal RNA
Source: RNAcentral